Molecule: ribosomal RNA, 650 nt
Filed under: Alteromonadaceae bacterium KE1-05
Lineage: Bacteria; Pseudomonadati; Pseudomonadota; Gammaproteobacteria; Alteromonadales; Alteromonadaceae
Description: bacterial SSU rRNA
Rfam family: Bacterial small subunit ribosomal RNA
Source: RNAcentral
CGCUUACACAUGCAAGUCGAGCGGAAACGAGAAUAGCUUGCUAUUCGGCGUCGAGCGGCGGACGGGUGAGUAAUGCUUGGGAACAUGCCUUGAGGUGGGGGACAACAGUUGGAAACGACUGCUAAUACCGCAUAAUGUCUUCGGACCAAAGGAGGGGAUCUUCGGACCUUUCGCCUUUAGAGUGGCCCAAGUGAGAUUAGCUAGUUGGUGGGGUAAAGGCUCACCAAGGCGACGAUCUCUAGCUGGUUUGAGAGGAUGAUCAGCCACACUGGGACUGAGACACGGCCCAGACUCCUACGGGAGGCAGCAGUGGGGAAUAUUGCACAAUGGGGGAAACCCUGAUGCAGCCAUGCCGCGUGUGUGAAGAAGGCCCUCGGGUUGUAAAGCACUUUCAGUCGUGAGGAAAGGUUUGUAGCUAAUAUCUGCAWSCUGUGACGUUAGCGACAGAAGAAGCACCGGCUAACUCCGUGCCAGCAGCCGCGGUAAUACGGAGGGUGCGAGCGUUAAUCGGAAUUACUGGGCGUAAAGCGUGCGUAGGCGGUUUCUUAAGCGAGAUGUGAAAUCCCGGGGCUCAACCUCGGAACUGCAUUUCGAACUGGGUGACUAGAGUACUGUAAAGGGUGGUGGAAUUUCCAGUGUAGCGGUGAAAU